Molecule: ribosomal RNA, 253 nt
Filed under: uncultured bacterium
Lineage: Bacteria
Description: partial 16S ribosomal RNA
Rfam family: Bacterial small subunit ribosomal RNA
Source: RNAcentral
UACGAAGGGGGCUAGCGUUGCUCGGAAUUACUGGGCGUAAAGCGCACGUAGGCGGAUUGUUAAGUCGGGGGUGAAAUCCUGGAGCUCAACUCCAGAACUGCCUUCGAUACUGGCGAUCUCGAGUUCGGGAGAGGUGAGUGGAACUGCGAGUGUAGAGGUGAAAUUCGUAGAUAUUCGCAAGAACACCAGUGGCGAAAGCGGCUCACUGGCCCGAUACUGACGCUGAGGUGCGAAAGCGUGGGGAGCAAACAGG